Molecule: ribosomal RNA, 234 nt
Filed under: uncultured Staphylococcus sp.
Lineage: Bacteria; Bacillati; Bacillota; Bacilli; Caryophanales; Staphylococcaceae
Description: partial 16S ribosomal RNA
Rfam family: Bacterial small subunit ribosomal RNA
Source: RNAcentral
GUGAGUAACACGUGGAUAACCUAUCUAUAAGACUGGGAUAACUUCGGGAAACCGGAGCUAAUACCGGAUAAUAUAUUGAACCGCAUGGUUCAAUAGUGAAAGACGGUUUUGCUGUCACUUAUAGAUGGAUCCGCGCCGCAUUAGCUAGUUGGUAAGGUAACGGCUUACCAAGGCAACGAUGCGUAGCCGACCUGAGAGGGUGAUCGGCCACACUGGAACUGAGACACGGUCCAG